Molecule: long non-coding RNA, 739 nt
Organism: Pangasianodon hypophthalmus (striped catfish)
Lineage: Eukaryota; Metazoa; Chordata; Actinopteri; Siluriformes; Pangasiidae
Exons: 3
Source: RefSeq, a predicted model, not a curated record
AAACACACUACCAUGUAUGGAAACAGAUGAUUUCCUAGCCAACAGCAAAGAGGCAGUUAGUGCUGAGUAUGUGUAUCCUGUGCACAGGUGAAGAAGAGCUGAAGAACAUUGAGUAUCUUGGCGUCUCUGUGUGGACCACAAACUCCAUCGUGACUGUGAAGACCAACUGCGAGUUUCUGCAGUGACAGAAUAUCGGAUACACACUGAGGGGAAAGCAAGUUGACAUCUCUGACAAACAGGACUAUGGAGGAGAAGUGCUGCAUUGCUUCCUAUGUUCUGAUUGCCGUUCUGAUUAUUGUUGCGAUUGCUGUUGUGAUUGUUUGCAUCAAAUGGUGCUGCAAAGAUCACUGCUACUCCGAAGCUGCUGUAGCAGCCGACGCUGAGGAAAGUUCUGAGAUCGGCAGGUAGGACCUUCACUCACAAUAUGAUAAAAAUUACUGUUAGUCAUUAUUCCUGUUAUUAGCAGCAUAUUAUUUUCAGUACAUCAUCUACAUUAAACCCAGUGUAACCCAGUGAGGGUUUAGUUAUUCACUCAGGGGCAGUUACUAUUCCUGAUUAGUUUCUGGGUUUAAAGGCGAGUGUUUGUGUCUCUGAUUAAGAUGCAUCUCCACCGUGGUCCUCGGUGUGAACUCCACCCACAUGUGCAUAACUCUCAUGUAAAUUCUGAAUAGAGUCAACCUAGUUACAUCACAAUAGUUUUUUUUUUAUAUUUGAUGAUAUCAAGUCACUAUUAAUAUCA